GGGAUACUGAGUUUGAAGGGACACUGGGUGCCAGUCAAGUACAACCUCCCCUCCCAGAUGAGCUCAGAGGCAGGGACAAGUGAAUUAGCACCCAGGGUCUCAGCUCUAACAUGACAGCAUUUGAACCCAGCUCAAAGGGAAGCCUCAGCUUCUCUGCUUUUUGGCUCCUAGGAUCCCGGACCUUUGAAGGCCGGACCCUUGCCCUCAGGAACCUCCCCGGAAGCUGUUCUGUUCUAAGAUCUUCCCAAGCUCAGGCACUUCCAUGUUCUAGGAAGCGUUACGGGUUAAUUGUGGUGAUGUCUGGAACUGGCUGAAGUUGAAUACAGAGAGAAUUCAUCGAUUUGUCAGUUUAUUUAUUUAUUUUUUUUUAGCUCUGGUGUAAUUGGGAGAGGAAGGGGGUGGGGAGGGCGGACUGGGACAAGUGGCACGUGGGCUACUUGGCUGAGCCAUGCCCGGGAUUCAUGUAAACUACAGAAGGGACCGCGCCGAGGAGGAGUGGGUAAGAAGGCCAGAGCUCGAAGGGAUGCGAGUAGGGCGGCGUGGGGUACCUGCGGGCCCGGGCGCUGCUGGUCUGGUUCCCUCCAGCUCCAGAGGCAGGGAGGCGGUGCCCAGGGACCGGGACCGGCCCUCGGGAGGGGGCGCCCCCCUUCCCUAGUCUAACUCCCGCCCCUCUCUCUUCCUCCCUCCCUCUCAUUGGCAGCUGGAACCGCGUCGGGGGGUUUCCAUGGCGACGGGUCGCUAAGCAUCAAGUCUGUGGGAACCGGAGUCAGACAGUGCGAGCGGGGGAGUCCCGGAGGGCGAUCGGGAGACUGGCGGCGGGCAGCCCGGCGGCGCCUCCCCUCCCGUCCCGGGGGCUGGGACCGGGGGGCUGGAUCGGACCGGGAGGGGGGCAAGCUCCUUCGGGGCGGGGGCGGAGAGGGAUGACUGGGAGGGCGGAGCGGGCUUCUGGAACCCUGCUUGGAGAGCUGGAUUAGGACAGGCCCCUGCAGGUACCUGGGAACCGGUAACAGCCGCCCUCCGUGGCUACCCGCAGCAUAGCCCACCCACUGCUUGGGGGAGUCGGCCCUGCCCCGCCGGGCAUCGGCUUCCUUCCGAGGCCCAAAGGGACACCCCUCUCUCCUCCCUCCUGGGUCUCAAACCACGGCUCCCCUCUGGCGAAUGUCCCCGCUAGGGCCUCCCGAGCUGCCGGUGGCUUUGGGGCCAUCAAAUCUCACUGGGUCUGGGGAGGCCCAUCAGCCAUUCUUCCCAUCGGGCACUUCCUUCCUCUUCCCCUAAGGGUCACUACCUCUCAGGGGGCGUCCCCUAGAAAUAUCCUGCCCUGCAGGGACUGGAAACUGGAACCUUCCUGCAGAAGGGGCAGUUUGCCUCUGCCUAGAGCUGGGACAUGCUAAGCAGGCUAGGUGGGCGUGAUGGGUAAGGAGGACCGGAGUUCUGUGGGCCUGGAGGCCAGCAAAGGCCUGUGUUUGGCAUUGUAACACCUCCAUCCCUCCACUGGGAUCCUACAUACCUCUUCAGGCUGCUGGUCUUAAGACCUGCCGCUUAACCAGUAUUCAGCAACAAGGAAAGGAAGUCCCAUGCCCCAUUUUUCUCAAACCCUUGGCCUUCUGGAGUUUGGAGUGUCACUGGCUCUCCCCCAGCCCCCCGAUAAGGAGCCGUUCCUCCCAGCUGUCAAGUUUGAAAAGAAGCCGGCAUGGCCAUGUUGCGCCUGUGCCAGGCCUCCAGUUCGGGCUCCCUUUGCCCCCCGGAAAGGUUCUCUGUAUGGUGGCGAUCCGGCAGGGAUGCUGCCGCUCCCCGGCUGCCUGCUCUUUCCAUGCCCAUACAUGGGCACAUCUGGGACAACUGCUAUAGAGCAGGAGAGGAUGGGACCAGCUGGCCCCGCCUCCCUCCCGGGCCAGGGGCAGCCCCGGUCCCUUGCCCUCUCCCCUUCCCUUUGGCCAGGACCACAUCUGGAUCAUCAGCGCAAUAAAGGGAAGAUAAUUGCUGGGGCCGAGGGGGCUGGGGGUAACUCAGGGACACUGUUAGGGGCACAGCAACUGAGUGGAAGAAGGAUAAUCUUUAAAAGAAAUUUAUGUCUGUAAACAUAAAUUAUAUUUCCUGGAGAAAGAAUCCUUGUUUCCCACGUGCCUGUUUAUUUAUAAGCCCUGGGAGAGUGCUGGGCUCUGGU
RNAcentral lists this long non-coding RNA (2164 nucleotides) under Sarcophilus harrisii (Tasmanian devil). RNAcentral describes it as "lncRNA (ENSSHAG00000024305.1)". Lineage: Eukaryota; Metazoa; Chordata; Mammalia; Dasyuromorphia; Dasyuridae. The record is from RNAcentral.